RNAcentral lists this long non-coding RNA (216 nucleotides) under Capsicum annuum. Its description in RNAcentral is "long non-coding RNA (CANN_LNC021501)". The record is from RNAcentral. Lineage: Eukaryota; Viridiplantae; Streptophyta; Magnoliopsida; Solanales; Solanaceae.
UAGUAUUCCGUGUCUCGAGCCGGGGGUCUAUCGGAAACAACCUUUCUACUUCUUUAGAGACAGAGGUAUGAACUGGGUACAUCUUACCCUCCCCAGACCUCACUAUGUGGGAAUACACUGGGUUUGUUGUUGUUGUUGUAUCAACAUUAUUACAUUGAGGCCCUAUUUAUAAACACUACACAUUCCAAUCCUUUUCCUAAUAGGAAAAUACAUUAC